CGGGUGUAUGGCUGACCAGUGAAGCAAUCUGGAGGUGCAGAAGCCAACUGCAAAUCAUGACACAGCCAGGGUUUCACUAAGUUGUCCAAUCUGGCACUGAACCUAAUCUGGCACUGAACUUGUCAUCCUCCUGUGUCAGCCACCUUACAGAUUCUAGAUUCUCCAGGCUCUGAACAAGGACUCACACCAGAGACUCCUGGGAACGCUCUAGGGCUUCAGCCUCGGACUGUGACUACACCGGUGGUGGUGGUCCUUCUCAUCGUUCUAAGGCUCUGCCUUCUUGGGACUAAUCAGCUCCUGGUUCUCCAGCUCUCCAGCUUGCAAAUGCUACUUGGGGACUCUCUGGCCUCUGAGUUCGUGAGGCGAUCAGGUGGAUUCCCUCCAGUGCCUUGAUGUCCGUCAACCACCUGCCCCAAGAAGAUGCUUCCAAUUUCCUGCCUGGAAGGUGCACACCUGGGAGCCAAAGGGAAAGGAGUUUAGGGAUUUCAGCAUUCAUCACCUAAACAUCUGCUGGUUUUUAGUGCAGAAGCCGCUCUGCUCUCCAGGCAAUAAACCUCCAGUGUUCUGCUGGGGUAGAGGAGAGAUUGUCACCCAGGAGAGGAGGUCGGAGGUCAAGUAGCUCCUGGAACAGCCUUUCCACAGUCCUGGCUGUACCUGUGGCUGCCAAGUCCUGCUCCUUGGGGGUGCUCUGUGGAAAGGAGGGAGGGCUGUUGAUUUUUCCCACUUGCUGGCUUACCAUUUGGCUUCCUUGGAGUUGCCUGAGUCACUUGUGACUCCUCCAUCUGUUUUCCAGUUUCCAGUUUCUCUGUCCUUGCAGGCUUAUGUUCUCCACGUAUCUCUUCAUUGAUGCUUUGGGAAAGAAGCAGGACUGAUUCGCCUAUUUAAUCCACUGAUUUUGGAACAGUGCUUUGAUGAGCUGAUGCUGUUAGGGUUGAGAAAGAUUCGCUACAGCUGCAGCAGGGUGCUGGGCAUCCAGAUAGAGGUGAGGGCAGUGCAGAGGGCAGGCUGAACUGCUCCUCAUGAUGCUGGAGCAGAUCCUGAACUUCCUGAGAAGGGUGCGUGUCUGAGAAUGGGGAGAAG
RNAcentral lists this long non-coding RNA (1080 nucleotides) under Heterocephalus glaber (naked mole-rat). RNAcentral's name for it is "lncRNA (ENSHGLG00100038544.1)". Lineage: Eukaryota; Metazoa; Chordata; Mammalia; Rodentia; Bathyergidae. The record is from RNAcentral.